Molecule: ribosomal RNA, 253 nt
Filed under: uncultured bacterium
Lineage: Bacteria
Description: partial 16S ribosomal RNA
Rfam family: Bacterial small subunit ribosomal RNA
Source: RNAcentral
UACAGAGGUCUCAAGCGUUGUUCGGAUUCAUUGGGCGUAAAGGGCGCGUAGGCGGCGGGGUAAGUCUGGUGUGAAAUCUCGGAGCUCAACUCCGAAAUUGCACUGGAUACUGCUCUGCUUGAGGGUUGGAGAGGAGAUCGGAAUUCACGGUGUAGCAGUGAAAUGCGUAGAUAUCGUGAGGAAGACCAGUGGCGAAGGCGGAUCUCUGGACAAAUCCUGACGCUGAGGCGCGAAAGCCAGGGGAGCAAACGGG